CAGUCGCCGCGGGAAUACGAAGGGGGCUAGCGUUGUUCGGAAUUACUGGGCGUAAAGCGCACGUAGGCGGAUAUUUAAGUCAGGGGUGAAAUCCCAGAGCUCAACUCUGGAACUGCCUUUGAUACUGGGUAUCUUGAGUAUGGAAGAGGUGAGUGGAAUUCCGAGUGUAGAGGUGAAAUUCGUAGAUAUUCGGAGGAACACCAGUGGCGAAGGCGGCUCACUGGUCCAUUACUGACGCUGAGGUGCGAAAGCGUGGGGAGCAAACAGGAUUAGAUACCCCAGUAGUCCCUGUCUCUUAUAU
RNAcentral lists this ribosomal RNA (301 nucleotides) under uncultured bacterium. RNAcentral's name for it is "partial 16S ribosomal RNA". It matches the Rfam family "Bacterial small subunit ribosomal RNA", at positions 509 to 809 of the family's 1533-position model. The record is from RNAcentral.